This 885-nucleotide long non-coding RNA is filed under the name Vulpes vulpes (red fox). RNAcentral describes it as "lncRNA (ENSVVUG00000008159.1)". The record is from RNAcentral. Lineage: Eukaryota; Metazoa; Chordata; Mammalia; Carnivora; Canidae.
UAGGACUCCCUUUUCAAGAGAACAAAUUUAGAAAUUGGCUCCUUUGAUCAUUAGGUAUGAGUAGGAAUAUUUGUUUAAUGCUCUGCCACCUACAAAUAAGAAAAUAGUGAAAUCACUAAACUUCAGUCAAUCUCAUCUGACCUUGCCAACCUCAAGAACUGUCUCCAUAACAAUCAAAAGUGGUAAUACAUACCUACAAUGGCUUGUUUCCGGAGGAAUCCAUCUGCCAUAUUUCCACUGGCCCUUAAAAAUAUGCUAUCUAAGCAUUAUUCAUUUAGCUUAUGGAUUCGACUCUUCAAAUGUCGACUUUUUAGGAAUAUAAAAACCAAGAAAUAAUCAAUUUCUGUUUUUUUUUUUCAUAAAUAUAACUCAAAUAUUUCCCUCACAGGGAAAUGAGGAGAAAGGAUGAAUAUGCUGGCACCAACGGAGGGCUGGAUCAUCUGUACUGUGAGAGGCAUCUUCUGGGCAUGUGUGGCACUUCACUAUGGACAACUAAGCUCCCUCGGAUACCCACCUCUUGCGCAUCAUACAGGCCAAGAUUCAGUGUCUACCAUGUUGAACAACACCACUCUAGGCAGAGAAAGCAAGAUGAACAAAAAAGCACUGAAGAUCAAGAGAGUAUGAGAACUUGCUUUGGAGGUGGCCAUUUCUCUAGUCUGGCAGGAGUAAAGCUGGAUGAUAAAAUAAAGGAUGUCAGAUGUCUGGCUGUAAAUUUUGGGAUGGGAACUCUGACUACUGUCCAUCCAAGAUGUUCAAACAAAAAAAAGAAAGAGAAAAUAUUGCAUGAUUCAAUCGUGAAUAUCUUUCAUGGAAUGUGAGGAAUAGAAUCCAGGUCAGAUGAUUUUGUUUGUUUGUUUGAGAUUAAACCUUUGCAGAAAAUAACCC